CUAACAUGCAUGUGCUCGGGCUCUUCUUGCGCAGGCUAGGUGGGAGGCUUUGAUCCUUUGCUUCCGGGGAUUGUUGAGCCAUUGGUGAGAGACCACUCUGGAGGAGCUAGAAUUCUAAUGCCGAUCCUUGAUCCAGGACGCUUGCCAUUUCCGGGGGGCAAUUUGGACGGGGCCGUCCCCUCCCUAAAAGGUACCGAAGGCUUGCAAAGGUUCCUCCAGGCGGGACGGAAUUCAGCCGUAAAUGGUAAAGGCAAAAGGAACCUGGACGGCAAAACCUACAAUUCAACCAGGGCCAAAAGCCGGCCUUAUGGAUCCGACGGUCCCGUGGGAAAGGCCCGCCCCUCACCGAAUAAAAGUUACUCUAGGGAUACCAGGUGGAUGACCUGCUUA
RNAcentral lists this ribosomal RNA (390 nucleotides) under uncultured alga. RNAcentral describes it as "bacterial LSU rRNA". It matches the Rfam family "Bacterial large subunit ribosomal RNA", at positions 2111 to 2496 of the family's 2925-position model. The record is from RNAcentral.